This 21-nucleotide non-coding RNA is filed under the name Caenorhabditis elegans. Lineage: Eukaryota; Metazoa; Nematoda; Chromadorea; Rhabditida; Rhabditidae. The record is from RNAcentral.
UGACAUCAAAAAUUAGUUGUU